Non-coding RNA from Caretta caretta (loggerhead turtle), 3118 nucleotides. Lineage: Eukaryota; Metazoa; Chordata; Testudines; Cheloniidae. The record is from RefSeq and is a predicted model, not a curated record.
AUUCUGUGACUGUGCAGUGGAUAAAGGGCUGGAUGCUGCAGGGGGACGCUCAGAGGACUCAGGUUGGAGUGUGCCCAUCCCUAGCCUGCAGGAGGGCAGCGGAACUCACGUGGGAUGAGGGGCCUGCAGAGUCAGGGAGCUGACCCCUGCCAGACACACACCAGGUUUCCUCACGUGAAGGGCAGGUGGCAGCCAGUUGCUUCAGAAUCCUGUGUACCCCUGGGAAUUGUCACAGUGGCACAGUCAGCAGGAUCUACACCCAGGUUGCUGGUUAGAUAGUGAGAGAUUCACAAGCGAGAAGGUCGGAAUCAAAUAAAGAAAAAGAUGCUUCAGGAGAACCUCAGUUUCUUCGAGGGAAAACCGUUACAGUGACUUCUCCCUUCCCCCCCAACGACCUGCCUGCUUCAGCAGAGAGAGGGCAGUGACGACCAUGCUCAGUUUGGGGCCGUGCAGGCAGGAGGCUCGAGUCAGACCGGACGAUAAGCAGCUGUGUAUUCUGGCCACAUGCAGAUCUGAGCCUGCUGUACCUCCAGACAUGGCCGCAGCCUGAAGGAUCCUGGAGUUAAUUGCAUCCCUUGCCCCACCAGCUACCCACUGCACUUCUCCCGCUGGUUCCUUCUGCAACCACACCAUCCUGUGCUCCUAGCUAUCCCGCCUCCUACCUACUGGGCCUUGGCCUAAUGGCUGGAUUGAGAAGCAACAUCAGUAAAAGCUGGAACCCGGCACAGCAUUUGAGGCAGGGGAUGCGAGCGGCUUGACAAUUACAGACAAGUGCGUAUGUGACGGAGACAAAGCUGCAAUCUAAGAGGUUUGCUCAGGAAGCAUCCAGCAGGCCAAUCCUCAGCUCCACUGAAAUCAAGGCCGGUUUACACCGUCUGCUGGUCUGGUGCAAAGGGGUAAAUGAAAUAGUAACCUGGACAUUGGGGACCCGGAGCAGGGUGACCCUCAGGGAGUCUGAGAAGCAAAUUUCUGGCAAUGUGGGGCCAUGCCCAGCCGGAGCUGAGGAUUCCAGCACAGACAGGAAGGAUGCAGGGACCAGGAGAACACUGGCAGGGCUGUGACAACAUAGCCAAUAGGUGAAGAGGGGGGAAAAGAAGAGUCGCAUAGAGUCUCAAGGAUGCACUUCAGUGGUGAAGCCUGGGUAGCUCGGUAGCCUGGAUAGUUAUGGCGAUUGGCCAUGGAAUACUGUGUCUACUCUAGAAGAUCACAUGGCUGAAUGUGGAACAGCUGCUCCUUCCUUACCCACUCAGAUCCAGCAGGGUAACAGAGAGAUGAGAUGCAAAGAGGCCACCUUGCUACCUGCAGAACAGAUGCUGAAGCAGCCUCCAGCAGAGAUGGGGAGCAGAAGCUGCAGGCCAUCCCUGAUGCCCCUCUGGCUGCAUGAGGAUCCAGCUGGGCUGCAGGAAAGUUAAGCAGGACAGGGAUGCCAGAGCUGAGAGCAUCACUUCACAGUCCAGAGGACAGACACGUUUGCUGCUAGCUGUGUUUAAACUGUGGCGCCAACCUUGUCAUUACACAGCCAGCUAGCAGGAUUUUAAAGAGGUUACACAGUGCCCACACUGGGUGCUAAUGGUGUUUUGAAAUAUUGUAGCUACUUUGAAUGUUAAACCCACAUUUUUUCCUAGUCAAGUCAGCUCCCCUAGGGUUAAAUAUGGACCAGCAGCAAAUGCUUGUGCCCUGCUUAUGCUAGACCUGACAAGCGUGAUCAUUAGCAUGUGUUAACACAAGGUUGUAAUUCCACAUGUAGACAAACCCUGACAUUUGUGCCUGAACUAUGGGACGUUCUGGGCAAAAAUGAAAGUGAGAAAGACACUGUGAUCCAGUGGCUGAGGCGUAGUCAGCUGAGAGGUGGCAACCUGAAUUCAGAUCCCUUUGCCACAUCAGGCAGAAAGAGAAGUUGAACCCACAUCCUGGGUGAGUACCUUAAGCACUGGGCUAAAGUGUGCUCGGUGAGGCUACUGCCUCACCCUCCCCCGCCUGCCCACCACCUGGUGUGCUCUGAGAAUGCCUCCAGGAUGGGCCGCAGAGAUGAGAUAGGUGGGGGAAUGCCUAGAGGGAGACUCCUACUGGGACUUAGGACUGAGAUGGCAGUGUGCAUGCCCAGUAGCAGAAACUUAGGUGCCGCCGGGUCAUUAACAGUGGAAAUGUAGGCACCUCCAUGUGUAGGUGCCAGCUGAGUGGGGCUUUGAGAAUCUCAGUGGCACCCAAAUCCCAGAUCUGUUUGUGGAUCUGGGCCUUAGGCUCCUGAGUCUUAUUGAAAUUCAAUGACAUUGACAUUCAGCCACUGGAAAGUUUUGCUGGCAGAGCUAUAUCAGACAGGAGUGUGGAAAAGUAAGGGUGGCAGGAUCUGGUCCAAAGUAAUUACUUUAAGGUCACAGAAACUGAUAACUGAUACAAAGAAUCCUAGGAAAUAAGGUAAGAAAUUGGUAUAUUAACAAUUUCCAAUAAGAAUCUAUUAUUAUUUUUUGUUGGCUAUUAUAAUCAAGGAUGAGCUAGUAAGUCUAGUGCACUUUGAUAACUUGCUUGUAAUGUACUUUUGAAUUGCUCUUGGACAUAAAUUCCUAGGUAAUCUGGUGCUCUUUCUAGAAUCGCUCUUUAGAAACCCCCAAUUCUCUCCGAAUUCACCUGUUCAUUGUGGGAUGUUGGUGGUUCACAAAAGCUAUUCAGAGACACUUUAUUCCGCUUAAAAAUGGUUCUCUUUCAAGAUGAGGGGGGAAGAAGAUUUUUUCCAGGCAGGAAUAAAAGAAAUACUAGAAAGGAACAUGCACACAUUGUAAGCAAAUCACAUUUCAAUGAAUACACUCAAGUAGCAGCAAUGGUCAAUUGUUUGACUGUUGGGUAUUAAGGUUUUGCUUGUAAAAAUGGGGAGAGUUAAGUUUAAAUAAUGUAGGCCCACUUCAUUGUUGUUCUGCAUCUCAUGUUGUCAUUUUUGUCAGUUCAAACCAAGUGCAAAUCAAAAUGGUAGCUUUGCACUAGUGUAAAUAAUGACACCAGGUAUAGGGCAGCACUAAAUCAGACCCUAUGUCUGUACUGUAUGGCUCUCAGCUUUGUACAUAUGAUUUUGUGGUACUAAAUCUAUCUCCUCAAUCCAUUCAUUACUGUAACACAAACAGUAUUU